GGGGUGUAGCUCAGUGGUAGGGCACUUGCCUGGCAAUGCCAGAGCCCUGGGUUCAAUCUCCAGCACCACCA
This 71-nucleotide transfer RNA is filed under the name Heterocephalus glaber (naked mole-rat). It matches the Rfam family "tRNA". Rfam says of the family: Transfer RNA (tRNA) molecules are approximately 80 nucleotides in length. The record is from Rfam by way of RNAcentral. Lineage: Eukaryota; Metazoa; Chordata; Mammalia; Rodentia; Bathyergidae.